CUGCAGCUCAAGUGGUGACCACUAUUAUUGGGCCUAAAACGUUCGUAGCCGGUUUGGUAAAUGCCUGGGUAAAUCGUGUAGCUUAACUAUACGAAUUCCGGGUAGACUGCCAAACUUGAGACCGGGAGAAGCUAGAGGUACUCCUGGGGUAGAGGUGAAAGUCUGUAAUCCUGGGGGGACCACCAGUGGCGAAGGCGUCUAGCUAGAACGGGUCUGACGGUGAGGAACGAAGCCCUGGGGCGCAAACCGGAUUAGAUACCCGAGUAGUCC
This 270-nucleotide ribosomal RNA is filed under the name uncultured archaeon. RNAcentral's name for it is "partial 16S ribosomal RNA". It matches the Rfam family "Archaeal small subunit ribosomal RNA", at positions 477 to 747 of the family's 1478-position model. The record is from RNAcentral.